UGAAUGGAGGGUUGUUAAGCCACCCAGGUU
Molecule: non-coding RNA, 30 nt
Filed under: Rattus norvegicus (Norway rat)
Lineage: Eukaryota; Metazoa; Chordata; Mammalia; Rodentia; Muridae
Source: RNAcentral